Long non-coding RNA from Hippoglossus stenolepis (Pacific halibut), 3143 nucleotides. RefSeq lists it as uncharacterized. Lineage: Eukaryota; Metazoa; Chordata; Actinopteri; Pleuronectiformes; Pleuronectidae. The record is from RefSeq and is a predicted model, not a curated record. The transcript has 2 exons.
CUUGACAGCAAAUAGAAAUGUCCGACCAGCAGGUCUGUGACAGGAACAACAAGACUCCUUCUAAACAAGAUCAUCCACCACACCCUCUACAGCAGGACGGAUGUUCUUCAUCAUCCUCUCCCUCCUCUUCCACUCAGUAAAAUCUGACAGAGGGAGCGGGUUCGUCCUGCGCCCGGCUGCAGGCGGCCCUCUCGAUGGUCUCUCCUACCAUGAAAGCGGUGGUGGAUGCUGUGUGGGCGGUGUGGAGCAUCGGGGCCUCCAUCUAUGACUACAUCCACACCAACGCCAUGGAGGAGCGCAUCCACGCCCUGGAAAACGUCAUCACCAUCCACCAGUGUGUGAUCGGGCUGCUGUCUGCCGGCGUGCUGACGCUCUUCACUUACAUCCUCUUAAAGAAGCUCUGAGGAGGUGUGAAGGGGCCUGCUGGGGCUGACGUGUGAGAGGUGGAAUGACCAGAAUCAGACACUGACAUUGAAUGUGGUAAAACAAACACUGAUCAGACAGAUAAAGGGGAAAUUUACACUUUGGGUACUUAAGACUCGCUCAUAAGAACUGGAAGGUACGUGCAGUUUUCAAGGGAGCAGACACAUAACAUUAAGUUAAAGUUCUUUUAAAAAGCUACUUUUUUAAAAACCUCAUUGCAGUGCCACAUGUUGCAUGAAUCUGUUUUGGGGAAAAACACUGAUGUUGAUGUUGUCUGUGUAGCAGGUUGUGGAGGAGGUGAGCAUGUGGGGCUACAGGGUCCAGCUGCUUUUUAAAGGCCAGUCUAAAAAGUAACAUUGACAGAUUUUAUGCUCCAGUAUUCAGGAUCUUUACAGUUUCAUUUAAAAUUUUAAUUUAAUACCUCAUUUGAAUGGCUUAGGCACAAAAAAUGAUUCAUUGUUCCCCCCUGAAGAUUAAGUUAUAACCUUUUUUAGCAUAAAAUAAACCAUUUACAUCAUCAUCAUCAUCACAGGACAUUGUGACUCAGCAGUUCAGUGCAGGUUUUACAGACUGGAUUAAAUUUAAAUUAUUAAAGGACUUAAAUAUGUAAAUAUAUAAAAACGUACCUAGUGCCAGCAGUAACAGAGAAAAUAAGAAACCACUCCAGAUUUGUCUUAAAUAAGCAUCUCUACAUCUAUGACAGACAUUUCACUCCAAAAUGUCCGUAGUUUAAAGAAUAGGGAGAAACAAAAUUUGACACAUAACUGCAACAUUUUGAAUAGUUGAAGCAGCUCAAAAUAACAGUAAACCAGUAAAUAUACCAACAUUAUUAGUUGCCCCUACUCAAACUAUCAUAACUCUGUGUGUGUGUGUGUGUGUGUGUGUGUGUGUGUGUGUGUGUGUGUGUGUGUGUGUGUGUGUGUGUGUGUGUGUGUGUGUGUGUGUGUGUGUGUGUGUGUGUGUGUGUGUGUGUGUGUGUGUGUGUGUGUGUGUGUGUGUGUGUGUGUGUGUGUGUGUCCCCACAGUUCCAUUGACUUAAUUCGCUAACUUACAAAAGGCUUCUUUUUUUCUUUUUGUUUUCAUGUUUGCAAUAAUUUCUCUUGAAGCCUAAGUUUAAAAGAUACAGGAGACGAUAAUUCCAUUGAAACUAGAGUCUGGAGAGAGCAGAUGUUUCUCACAUUCCCCAAAUUUAGCAAUUGAUGAAUCCUUUUAAACACCUUGUCUGUUACUAUAAGUAUAUUUGGUUUUGUCUUGGGAGUGUUUGAUAAGACACCUCAUAUAAUCCCUUAUGAUUCAAUAUGAUUGGUUUACUUGUGCAUCAUCUUCAUUUUCAGUGCAACAUUAGGAUUAAAAUAUACAGUAAAUUUCUGUUAAUCCCCAUUGCUGUUGGUGCGAGUGCAGUAUAAAAUUAAAUAUGAAGUGUCCUUAAAAACUGUAAAUAUAUUUAAAUGUUCACAAGCAGUUUUUCAGCUUUCAUACAUGUGCAAUUACCAUGUAGUACUACUGCUGCUUAAUAUUUUAUAAGGCAAAAUUUUGUACCAUGUAUCAACAUGUUUAAAUAAGAUAAUAGGUAUCGACUGCGAACACUGGAUCAAUGUGUCUUUCUGAAAUGACACAUUGAUCAAAGUUUCUUUUACAGGAUAAAGGAUGUUUUUGUAAUUUUAACUUUAAUCAGCUUCUCUAACCUGCUGAGUGAUGAGUCAUUGGAAUCUGCAACCAUUACGAGUCCUGGCAUUAGAGAAAUCAGUGUGUGUAUUUUUGUGUAAAUGUGUUACUGUCCCAGAAGGAACACAACAAGAGAACGUGCAAAGGAUGAAACAGUUUUAUUUUCAUUUUAACAGUCUUCUCAAAAUGUCAAAUAAAUGUGGAAUUCAAUGCAAUUAAACUGCACCUCUCUUACAACAGUUCAAGUUUCCAACACAGUGUUGUGUACAAAAAUGAAAAGCUAAAGUAUAUAACACUUCUGAUUGAAGUUGUGACCAUGAGAAGCUUUUCUAUCACAUGUCUGAACAUUUCUUCAAACAAUCUGCUAAAACCACUGAAGAAGAAUCGACUGCAAACUUCAGAAACUGCGCCACUGGGUUGGAAAUCAUAAGCGGACAUGACACCAGUCGUCCACGGAGAAGAAAAGAAGAGCAACCCCCGUCUGAAAAUAGGUGCUGCUUCUUCAGCUCACAAACUUCUACACAUGAGUAGUUGGAAUCUGAACUCGAAGGCCUUAAUCUGGAAUAAAUGGACCUUAACAUAUGUGGUUACAAGUGUCCAGUCUGCAGGAGAGUGUGUUUGGAAGUGAAUCUCUCCACACUUUCGCCCUCCAGGAACUUCAUGGCUCUCCAGUGGAUCUUGCCGCAGUUCUCUGGCUGCCCGCCGGGUCCCAGCUCCACCUGGAUGUACUGCAGCCACAGGUCUUGAAUGAAGAAAACAGAAACAGAAAAAGAUUUGAGCUGACAAUGCACAAGGACGCUCUGAUUCAAUAUUAAUGCUUAACAAAAGGCUCUUCAACUUGCCAUAUUCCAACUUCCCCUUGGCCUACAUACCAGACUGAAAGUUUGUGUUUGUCUCUGUUAAAGAACAACUUGAGUAUUUGUCAUUGAGACGUAUUCAUAUCCUGAAAUCAUCAGAACUUUUUUUUUUUUUUUUAGUUUUGUUAUAAAUGGAAAGUUUGUCCUACAUACUUGAAUAACAAGAUAUUGUGAAUAAAUUUGUUUUGACUAACUCUA